RNAcentral lists this ribosomal RNA (629 nucleotides) under uncultured soil archaeon. Its description in RNAcentral is "bacterial SSU rRNA". It matches the Rfam family "Archaeal small subunit ribosomal RNA", at positions 21 to 649 of the family's 1478-position model. The record is from RNAcentral.
AGGUUACUGCUAUCGGUGUUCGCCUAAGCCAUGCGAGUCAUAUGUUCUUCGUGAACAUGGCGUACUGCUCAGUAACACGUGGAUAACCUGCCCUUGGGUCCGGCAUAACCCCGGGAAACUGGGGAUAAUUCCGGAUAACGCACAUAUGCUGGAAUGCUUUAUGCGUCAAAUGGAUUCGUCCGCCCAAGGAUGGGUCUGCGGCCUAUCAGGUAGUAGUGGGUGUAAUGUACCUACUAGCCUACGACGGGUACGGGUUGUGAGAGCAAGAGCCCGGAGAUGGAUUCUGAGACAUGAAUCCAGGCCCUACGGGGCGCAGCAGGCGCGAAAACUUUACAAUGCGGGAAACCGUGAUAAGGGGACACCGAGUGCCAGCAUCAUAUGUUGGCUGUCCGGGUGUGUAAAAUACACCUGUUAGCAAGGGCCGGGCAAGACCGGUGCCAGCCGCCGCGGUAACACCGGCGGCCCGAGUGGUGAUCGUGAUUAUUGGGUCUAAAGGGUCCGUAGCCGGUUUGGUCAGUCCUCCUGGAAAUCUGACGGCUUAACCGUUAUGCUUUCGGGGGAUACUGCCAGACUUGGAACCGGGAGAGGUAAGAAAUACUACACGGGUAGGAGUGAAAUCUUGUAAUCUC